Molecule: ribosomal RNA, 253 nt
Filed under: uncultured bacterium
Lineage: Bacteria
Description: partial 16S ribosomal RNA
Rfam family: Bacterial small subunit ribosomal RNA
Source: RNAcentral
UACGUAGGGUGCGAGCGUCAAUCGGAAUUACUGGGCGUAAAGCGUGCGCAGGCGGUUCGUUGUGUCGGUGGUGAAAUCCCCGGGCUUAACCUGGGAAUGGCCAUGGAAACUGGCGAACUGGAGUGCGGCAGAGGGGGGUGGAAUUCCGCGUGUAGCAGUGAAAUGCGUAGAGAUGCGGAGGAACACCGAUGGCGAAGGCAGCCCCCUGGGCUAGCACUGACGCUCAGGCACGAAAGCGUGGGGAGCAAACAGG